GACGAACGCUGGCGGCGUGCCUAAUACAUGCCAGUUGAGCGCUGAAGGUUGGUACUUGUACCAACUGGAUGAGCAGCGAACGGGUGAGUAACGCGUGGGGAAUCUGCCUUUGAGCGGGGGACAACAUUUGGAAACGAAUGCUAAUACCGCAUAAAAACUUUAAACACAAGUUUUAAGUUUGAAAGAUGCAAUUGCAUCACUCAAAGAUGAUCCCGCGUUGUAUUAGCUAGUUGGUGAGGUAAAGGCUCACCAAGGCGAUGAUACAUAGCCGACCUGAGAGGGUGAUCGGCCACAUUGGGACUGAGACACGGCCCAAACUCCUACGGGAGGCAGCAGUAGGGAAUCCUCGGCAAUGGACGAAAGUCUGACCGAGCAACGCCGCGUGAGUGAAGAAGGUUUUCGGAUCGUAAAACUCUGUUGGUAGAGAAGAACGUUGGUGAGAGUGGAAAGCUCAUCAAGUGACGGUAACUACCCAGAAAGGGACGGCUAACUACGUG
RNAcentral lists this ribosomal RNA (497 nucleotides) under uncultured bacterium. RNAcentral describes it as "partial 16S ribosomal RNA". It matches the Rfam family "Bacterial small subunit ribosomal RNA", at positions 28 to 507 of the family's 1533-position model. The record is from RNAcentral.